GUAGUCUGCCAUACGCAGGAAGACCCGCUGAACUGAAGCAUCUCAUUAAGCGGAGGAAAAGAAACUAACUAGGAUUCCCUUAGUAAAGGCGAUCGAAAAGGGAACAGCCCAACGUCUUAAUCCCGCAAGGGAAAUGUAGUCGGUUCACCUAUUGCACUGGUCUAAGUCAGAUGGAAUGCUGCGCGAUUCAGAGUAAAAGCCUCGUAUGACCAACCGCAAGCUUACGAUGGACCGGGGAGAGUCGGAUACUUUGAGAGUAGUGUCUUAAGGGGGUGGUAUGUCCCAUCCAAGGCUAAAUAACGUGAGGAGACCGAUAGAUUACAAGUAGUGUGAACGAAAGAUGAAAAGAACUCUAAAACAGAGGGUGAAAAGUUCCUGAACUUGCUUAGGGUUAAGCUAUUUAUAGUACCCGUCUUGAAACACGGAUUAGGGAGUUUAUCUGUAGUUGCGAGUCUUUGCACGUUAA
RNAcentral lists this non-coding RNA (466 nucleotides) under Trichomonas vaginalis G3. RNAcentral describes it as "Eukaryotic large subunit ribosomal RNA". It matches the Rfam family "Eukaryotic large subunit ribosomal RNA", at positions 1 to 704 of the family's 3401-position model. The record is from Rfam by way of RNAcentral. Lineage: Eukaryota; Parabasalia; Trichomonadida; Trichomonadidae.